GGCCAGAUAGCCAAGCGGUAAGGCAGCAGUUUGCAAAACUGCUAUGCGUGGGUUCAAUUCCCUCUCUGGCCU
This 72-nucleotide transfer RNA is filed under the name bacterium. RNAcentral's name for it is "tRNA-Cys". It matches the Rfam family "tRNA". From Rfam's summary of the family: Transfer RNA (tRNA) molecules are approximately 80 nucleotides in length. The record is from RNAcentral. RNAcentral also lists the same sequence under 1 other name.